This 436-nucleotide long non-coding RNA is filed under the name Anas platyrhynchos platyrhynchos (common mallard). RNAcentral's name for it is "lncRNA (ENSAPLG00000026374.1)". The record is from RNAcentral. Lineage: Eukaryota; Metazoa; Chordata; Aves; Anseriformes; Anatidae.
CCAGGCCAUAACAUGUUUCAAGAAAAUGAAGUCCUUUGUUACAGAAAUGCAUAUGCAGUCGCAUGGCAUCAGAGAAACUAGACAAUAUAGAUCGUUAUGACAUCUUAACUCUGGCAGUUAGCUACAGUUCGGUCAUACUGUUCUAUGCUAGUUAUGAAAUGCCAUUUAGCGAUCAACGCUGCACAGAAGGACUCAGCCUAGAACACAAAGACUUAUCUGGAAAGUGUUCUUAUGCAACAGAGAACUGGAAAAAAAAAAAAAAAGCUACUCCUAAUUUUCCCCGAAUUCUCCAAUCAUCCUUCUGUGUACAUCCGAAGAUGUACAAGAUCCUUUAUAUCUUCAAAAUAAGGGAUGUCUCUAAACACAUUCUCAUUUCCUGAGAGAACUGGUGCAAUUGUUCUACAAAUCUUCUCAUCAAGAGACAUCCUCAAGUGAG